This 606-nucleotide ribosomal RNA is filed under the name uncultured Actinomycetes bacterium. RNAcentral's name for it is "bacterial SSU rRNA". It matches the Rfam family "Bacterial small subunit ribosomal RNA", at positions 252 to 866 of the family's 1533-position model. The record is from RNAcentral. Lineage: Bacteria; Bacillati; Actinomycetota; Actinomycetes.
GUGGGGUAACGGCCUACCAAGGCUGCGACGGGUAGCUGGUCUGAGAGGGCGGCCAGCCACACUGGGACUGAGAUACGGCCCAGACUCCUACGGGAGGCAGCAGUGGGGAAUCUUGCGCAAUGGGCGAAAGCCUGACGCAGCGACACCGCGUGGGGGACGAAGGCCUUCGGGUUGUAAACCCCUUUCGACAGGGAAGAAGCGAUCCCGUGACGGUACCUGUAGAAGAAGCCCCGGCUAACUACGUGCCAGCAGCCGCGGUAAGACGUAGGGGGCGAGCGUUGUCCGGAUUCAUUGGGCGUAAAGCGCGCGUAGGCGGCCCGGUAAGUCGGUUGUGAAAUCCUGGGGCUCAACCCCAGGGCUGCAUCCGAUACUGCCGGGCUAGAGGUAGGUAGGGGAGAUCGGAAUUCCUGGUGUAGCGGUGAAAUGCGCAGAUAUCAGGAGGAACACCGGUGGCGAAGGCGGAUCUCUGGGCCUUACCUGACGCUCAGGCGCGAAAGCUAGGGGAGCGAACAGGAUUAGAUACCCUGGUAGUCCUAGCCGUAAACGUUGGGUGCUAGGUGUGGGCGGAUAUCGACCCCGUCCGUGCCGAAGCUAACGCAUUAAGCA